Molecule: transfer RNA, 77 nt
Filed under: Chloroflexota bacterium
Lineage: Bacteria; Bacillati; Chloroflexota
Also listed under: 3 other names
Description: tRNA-Pro
Rfam family: tRNA
About the family: Transfer RNA (tRNA) molecules are approximately 80 nucleotides in length.
Source: RNAcentral
CGGGGUGUGGCGCAGCCCGGUAGCGCACCUGCUUUGGGAGCAGGGGGUCGGAGGUUCAAAUCCUCUCGCCCCGACCA